This 3677-nucleotide ribosomal RNA is filed under the name Drosophila melanogaster (fruit fly). RNAcentral describes it as "eukaryotic LSU rRNA". The stretch from base 576 to 3677 matches the Rfam family "Eukaryotic large subunit ribosomal RNA", at positions 1 to 2390 of the family's 3401-position model. Lineage: Eukaryota; Metazoa; Arthropoda; Insecta; Diptera; Drosophilidae. The record is from RNAcentral.
AAAACUCUAAGCGGUGGAUCACUCGGCUCAUGGGUCGAUGAAGAACGCAGCAAACUGUGCGUCAUCGUGUGAACUGCAGGACACAUGAACAUCGACAUUUUGAACGCAUAUCGCAGUCCAUGCUGUUAUGUACUUUAAUUAAUUUUAUAGUGCUGCUUGGACUACAUAUGGUUGAGGGUUGUAAGACUAUGCUAAUUAAGUUGCUUAUAAAUUUUUAUAAGCAUAUGGUAUAUUAUUGGAUAAAUAUAAUAAUUUUUAUUCAUAAUAUUAAAAAAUAAAUGAAAAACAUUAUCUCACAUUUGAAUGUGAAAAACGAAGAGAAAUAUUUUCUUUUUCAAUCAAAUAAUACUGAGAAAUGUCUAGCAUAAAAAAUUGAAAUAUUUUUCAUCUAGAAUUGUCUCUUAUUAAUGAUUCGGAAAUAGAAAAUCUUGGUUAUGUUAUUUAUUCUUCGUUGGUUCGUUAACAAUGGAUAAAUAAAAACUUUGCAUACAAGAAUUAAUAAAAAUGUUAUAACGAAUUUAAUUAAAUGUUUUAUCAUUAUAUAUAAAGAAUUUAUGGCAAGAUAAAGUUAUAUACAACCUCAACUCAUAUGGGACUACCCCCUGAAUUUAAGCAUAUUAAUUAGGGGAGGAAAAGAAACUAACAAGGAUUUUCUUAGUAGCGGCGAGCGAAAAGAAAACAGUUCAGCACUAAGUCACUUUGUCUAUAUGGCAAAUGUGAGAUGCAGUGUAUGGAGCGUCAAUAUUCUAGUAUGAGAAAUUAACGAUUUAAGUCCUUCUUAAAUGAGGCCAUUUACCCAUACAGGGUGCCAGGCCCGUAUAACGUUAAUGAUUACUAGAUGAUGUUUCCAAAGAGUCGUGUUGCUUGAUAGUGCAGCACUAAGUGGGUGGUAAACUCCAUCUAAAACUAAAUAUAACCAUGAGACCGAUAGUAAACAAGUACCGUGAGGGAAAGUUGAAAAGAACUCUGAAUAGAGAGUUAAACAGUACGUGAAACUGCUUAGAGGUUAAGCCCGAUGAACCUGAAUAUCCGUUAUGGAAAAUUCAUCAUUAAAAUUGUAAUAUUUAAAUAAUAUUAUGAGAAUAGUGUGCAUUUUUUCCAUAUAAGGACAUUGUAAUGGCAUAAUUAUCAUUGAUUUUUGUGUUUAUUAUAUGCACUUGUAUGAUUAACAAUGCGAAAGAUUCAGGAUACCUUCGGGACCCGUCUUGAAACACGGACCAAGGAGUCUAACAUAUGUGCAAGUUAUUGGGAUAUAAACCUAAUAGCGUAAUUAACUUGACUAAUAAUGGGAUUAGUUUUUUAGCUAUUUAUAGCUAAUUAACACAAUCCCGGGGCAUUCUAUAUAGUUAUGUAUAAUGUAUAUUUAUAUUAUUUAUGCCUCUAACUGGAACGUACCUUGAGCAUAUAUGCUGUGACCCGAAAGAUGGUGAACUAUACUUGAUCAGGUUGAAGUCAGGGGAAACCCUGAUGGAAGACCGAAACAGUUCUGACGUGCAAAUCGAUUGUCAGAAUUGAGUAUAGGGGCGAAAGACCAAUCGAACCAUCUAGUAGCUGGUUCCUUCCGAAGUUUCCCUCAGGAUAGAUGGUGCAUUUUAAUAUUAUAUAAAAUAAUCUUAUCUGGUAAAGCGAAUGAUUAGAGGCCUUAGGGUCGAAACGAUCUUAACCUAUUCUCAAACUUUAAAUGGGUAAGAACCUUAACUUUCUUGAUAUGAAGUUCAAGGUUAUGAUAUAAUGUGCCCAGUGGGCCACUUUUGGUAAGCAGAACUGGCGCUGUGGGAUGAACCAAACGUAAUGUUACGGUGCCCAAAUUAACAACUCAUGCAGAUACCAUGAAAGGCGUUGGUUGCUUAAAACAGCAGACGGUGAUCAUGGAAGUCGAAAUCCGCUAAGGAGUGUGUAACAACUCACCUGCCGAAGCAACUAGCCCUUAAAAUGGAUGGCGCUUAAGUUGUAUACCUAUACAUUACCGCUAAAGUAGAUGAUUUAUAUUACUUGUGAUAUAAAUUUUGAAACUUUAGUGAGUAGGAAGGUACAAUGGUAUGCGUAGAAGUGUUUGGCGUAAGCCUGCAUGGAGCUGCCAUUGGUACAGAUCUUGGUGGUAGUAGCAAAUAAUCGAAUGAGACCUUGGAGGACUGAAGUGGAGAAGGGUUUCGUGUGAACAGUGGUUGAUCACGAGUUAGUCGGUCCUAAGUUCAAGGCGAAAGCCGAAAAUUUUCAAGUAAAACAAAAAUGCCUAACUAUAUAAACAAAGCGAAUUAUAAUACACUUGAAUAAUUUUGAACGAAAGGGAAUACGGUUCCAAUUCCGUAACCUGUUGAGUAUCCGUUUGUUAUUAAAAUGGGCCUCGUGCUCAUCCUGGCAACAGGAACGACCAUAAAGAAGCCGUCGAGAGAUAUCGGAAGAGUUUUCUUUUCUGUUUUAUAGCCGUACUACCAUGGAAGUCUUUCGCAGAGAGAUAUGGUAGAUGGGCUAGAAGAGCAUGACAUAUACUGUUGUGUCGAUAUUUUCUCCUCGGACCUUGAAAAUUUAUGGUGGGGACACGCAAACUUCUCAACAGGCCGUACCAAAUCCGCAGCUGGUCUCCAAGGUGAAGAGUCUCUAGUCGAUAGAAUAAUGUAGAUAAGGGAAGUCGGCAAAUUAGAUCCGUAACUUCGGGAUAAGGAUUGGCUCUGAAGAUUGAGAUAGUCGGACUUGAUUGGGAAACAAUAACAUGGUUUAUGUGCUCGUUCUGGGUAAAUAGAGUUUCUAGCAUUUAUGUUAGUUACUUGUUCCCCGGAUAGUUUAGUUACGUAGCCAAUUGUGGAACUUUCUUGCUAAAAUUUUUAAGAAUACUAUUUGGGUUAAACCAAUUAGUUCUUAUUAAUUAUAACGAUUAUCAAUUAACAAUCAAUUCAGAACUGGCACGGACUUGGGGAAUCCGACUGUCUAAUUAAAACAAAGCAUUGUGAUGGCCCUAGCGGGUGUUGACACAAUGUGAUUUCUGCCCAGUGCUCUGAAUGUCAAAGUGAAGAAAUUCAAGUAAGCGCGGGUCAACGGCGGGAGUAACUAUCUUUGACUCUCUUAGACUCUCUCUCUUGGGGAUCAUGGGGUAUUUGAGAGCAGAGGGGGAGUAUUCUUCUGUAAUUCGUAAGUCAUAUCAUAUGAUGUGCGGAAGGGGAAUUUUACUCUGUAACUCACAAGUCUCUCCUUUACUCAAGUCGACUCAAAACCUCCUCGUGGUGGUCCCCGGUAAUGCUAAACUCGUUUAGCAGCUAAUUUGAGCGGCAAAACUUUUCCGAUGGGCUGGUUCCCCAGAGGAAAUUUAUUCAUAUUGGAACUACAAGCACAAAUAACGAGCCUCGGAUACCUUUACACAAUCUGAUGACGACCCGACCCUCCGUGGAUAUCUUCCCGGAGGACCAAUUGAACCAAACGCAGCGGCUACUCUAUCUAGGGUUCCCUGCACAGUAUGUGGCCGGUCCUUUAACAGCAAGAGAGGACUCGGUGUUCACAUGCGAUCUCGGCACCCAGACGAACUUGAUGAAGAACGUCGACGUGUCGAUAUAAAGGCAAGAUGGAGUGAUGAAGAGAAGUGGAUGAUGGCGAGAAAGGAGGUUGAGCUCACAGCAAAUGGAUGUAAACACAUAAACAAGCAACUAGCGGUGUAUUUUGCAAACCGCAGCGUCGAAGCCAUCAAA